UUAUUAAUGAGGGAUAUCUUUAUAAAGUAUAACAUCUAUGAAAAAUAUGAUUAAAAAUACUAAACUGAGCAUAUAAUUACCUUCUUACCUAUUGAGAUUUAUAUAUGUAGCAAUCUUUUCAUCUAGGCAAAAUGAAUUGGAAAGCAGGAAGACUGACAAUUUUCACCUUGAGAUUUUAAAAAAUAGCAUGCA
Molecule: long non-coding RNA, 192 nt
Filed under: Oryctolagus cuniculus (rabbit)
Lineage: Eukaryota; Metazoa; Chordata; Mammalia; Lagomorpha; Leporidae
Description: lncRNA (ENSOCUG00000036280.1)
Source: RNAcentral